AGAUUAAACAUAAGAGUUUGAUCCUGGCUCAGAUUGAACGCUGGCGGCAUGCUUUACACAUGCAAGUCGAACGGCAGCACGGAGAGCUUGCUCUCUGGUGGCGAGUGGCGAACGGGUGAGUAAUGCAUCGGAACGUACCGAGUAAUGGGGGAUAACUGUCCGAAAGGAUGGCUAAUACCGCAUACGCCCUGAGGGGGAAAGCGGGGGAUCUUAAGACCUCGCGUUAUUUGAGCGGCCGAUGUUGGAUUAGCUAGUUGGUGGGGUAAAGGCCUACCAAGGCGACGAUCCAUAGCGGGUCUGAGAGGAUGAUCCGCCACAUUGGGACUGAGACACGGCCCAAACUCCUACGGGAGGCAGCAGUGGGGAAUUUUGGACAAUGGGGGGAACCCUGAUCCAGCCAUGCCGCGUGUCUGAAGAAGGCCUUCGGGUUGUAAAGGACUUUUGUUAGGGAAGAAAAGCUUGGUGCUAAUACCACCUAGUGCUGACGGUACCUAAAGAAUAAGCACCGGCUAACUACGUGCCAGCAGCCGCGGUAAUACGUAGGGUGCGAGCGUUAAUCG
RNAcentral lists this ribosomal RNA (560 nucleotides) under Snodgrassella alvi. RNAcentral's name for it is "bacterial SSU rRNA". It matches the Rfam family "Bacterial small subunit ribosomal RNA", at positions 1 to 547 of the family's 1533-position model. Lineage: Bacteria; Pseudomonadati; Pseudomonadota; Betaproteobacteria; Neisseriales; Neisseriaceae. The record is from RNAcentral.